GGGAAGGUGGCUCAGUGGUAGAGUGAUUGCCUUGCAUGCAUGAGGCCCUGGGUUCGAUUCCUCAG
RNAcentral lists this transfer RNA (65 nucleotides) under Dipodomys ordii (Ord's kangaroo rat). It matches the Rfam family "tRNA", at positions 1 to 63 of the family's 71-position model. Rfam says of the family: Transfer RNA (tRNA) molecules are approximately 80 nucleotides in length. Their secondary structure includes four short double-helical elements and three loops (D, anti-codon, and T loops). The record is from Rfam by way of RNAcentral. Lineage: Eukaryota; Metazoa; Chordata; Mammalia; Rodentia; Heteromyidae.